Molecule: ribosomal RNA, 253 nt
Filed under: uncultured bacterium
Lineage: Bacteria
Description: partial 16S ribosomal RNA
Rfam family: Bacterial small subunit ribosomal RNA
Source: RNAcentral
UACGGAGGGGGCUAGCGUUGUUCGGAAUUACUGGGCGUAAAGCGCGCGUAGGCGGACCUGCAAGUCGGGGGUGAAAGCCCGAGGCUCAACCUCGGAACUGCCUUCGAUACUGCGGGUCUCGAGUCCGGGAGAGGUGAGUGGAAUUCCUAGUGUAGAGGUGAAAUUCGUAGAUAUUCGGAAGAACACCAGUGGCGAAGGCGGCUCACUGGCCCGGUACUGACGCUGAGAUACGAAAGCGUGGGGAGCAAACAGG